Molecule: ribosomal RNA, 512 nt
Filed under: Davidius moiwanus
Lineage: Eukaryota; Metazoa; Arthropoda; Insecta; Odonata; Gomphidae
Description: partial 16S rRNA
Rfam family: Bacterial large subunit ribosomal RNA
Source: RNAcentral
GUCCUCUUGUUUAUAUAUGAGGUCAGACCUGCCCGGUGAAUUUUAUUUUAACGGCCGCGGUAUUUUGACCGUGCAAAGGUAGCAUAAUCAUUAGUCUUUUAAUAGGAGGCUGGAAUGAAGGGUUUGACGAGGUGCUGACUGUCUCAUUUAAUUUGAAAUUAAAAUUUAACUUUUCAGUUAAAAGGCUGAAAUUAUAUUGGAAGACGAGAAGACCCUAUAGAGCUUUAUAGCUAUAGUUUUAAUUAACUAUUGUUUAAUCAUUAUUUUUUAUAAUUAUAUCUAUUUUGUUGGGGUGACAAAAAUAUAAAAGUAACUUUUUUAUUUAGUGUUCAUUGAUUUAUGAACUUUAGAUCCAAUUUUAUUGAUUGUUAGAAUAAGUUACCUUAGGGAUAACAGCGUAAUCUUCCUUCAGAGUUCAUAUUUACAGGAAGGAUUGCGACCUCGAUGUUGGAUUAAGAUAAUAAUUAGGUGUAGCCGCUUAAUUUAUAGGUCUGUUCGACCUUUAAAUUCUU